This 638-nucleotide long non-coding RNA is filed under the name Cyclopterus lumpus (lumpfish). Its description in RNAcentral is "lncRNA (ENSCLMG00005003198.1)". Lineage: Eukaryota; Metazoa; Chordata; Actinopteri; Perciformes; Cyclopteridae. The record is from RNAcentral.
GUCUUCGUUGGGUACCACUUCUACACCCACAACACCAAACCCUUCCAGUUCCACUACUUCAAGGACGAUGAAGAGGAGGAAGACGCUCCACCUGCAGACGGCAGUCGCAGCAUCUGUAACCCGGUUUAUGAAGCGGCGCCUGAAGGGGCCCCGGAGGCCCAGCACCAGGUGGAGGCCCAGCACCAGGUGGAGGCCCAGCACCAGGUGGAGGCCCUGCACCAGGUGGAGGCCCAGCACCAGGUGGAGGCCCAGCACCAGGUGGAGGCCCUGCACCAGGUGGAGGCCCAGCACCAGCCGGAGGCCCAGCACCAGGUGGAGGCCCUGCACCAGGUGGAGGACCUGCACCAGGUGGAGGACCUGCACCAGCCGGAGGCCCAGCACCAGCCGGAGGCCCAGCACCAGCCGGAGGCCCAGCACCAGGUGGAGGCCCAGCACCAGGUGGAGGCCCAGCACCAGGUGGAGGCCCUGCACCAGGUGGAGGACCUGCUGCAGGACAGUUGAGCUGCUCACUGCGGGACUGGAACCCUCAGAACCAUUGAAGACAUCCGAGCAGGCUUUCAUCGUGGACUCACGACAUACCUUUGAUGGUCUCUGGGACCUGAACCGGCUCCCAGGCUGCUGAUGGAGCCAAAGAUUCA